GGUGUCCUUCACAUCCCUUAGUAAGUGUUCCACACCAAUUUCCUCAACUUCAUGAGCAGCAAUUUCUGAUGGCACAUGCACAAACACCUUCUGGCUUUUCUGGGUUGCAUUCUCUUUCACCUCUUCAACUGCACAGUAAGCUUUCGUGGGUAUUCCCAGCUCCACUGGUUGGACAUCAAUUAUGACCAAGACAGGAUUUGGAACAUAAUCAUUAAAUAGCGCAUGAAUAUCCAGGUCAUUUUCCCUCAGUUUUGGACCUGUGCUGUACCAACCCACCACAUGCUCCUUGGCAUUUAUUCUUUUGAACAUAGAAAACAUUGACUCGUGAUAAUUAUGGUCAAGAAACCAUAUGCUUGGGUCCUUAUCUUCCUCUUCAAAUGGCACAGCAUAGCUGUUGGUGACAUCAACGGUGCCUUUGAAAGAAGAACCAAGCAAGACCCCAACAACGCGUUUGCGAGUGUCCUUAGCAACUCUGCUGUAGUUAUCGACGAUACUGAGGAGAACCAGAGGGUGCACUACCACCUUCUCGAUGGGUCUCGCAGAUAUUUGCUGCGUCUUUAUCACAUCCAUUCCCACUUCUCGCUCGCUGAUCCAACUUCCCAACUUCAAGAUUUCAAAUCCCUUUUUCUUUCUGCUUCCAAUUCUUUUGAUUUCUGGUUCUGAGUUUUG
RNAcentral lists this unclassified non-coding RNA (669 nucleotides) under Hevea brasiliensis (rubber tree). The record is from RNAcentral. Lineage: Eukaryota; Viridiplantae; Streptophyta; Magnoliopsida; Malpighiales; Euphorbiaceae.